AAGAUUGACCUCCUCAAAUAGCCU
RNAcentral lists this microRNA (24 nucleotides) under Prunus persica (peach). Its description in RNAcentral is "microRNA miRNA_49". Lineage: Eukaryota; Viridiplantae; Streptophyta; Magnoliopsida; Rosales; Rosaceae. The record is from RNAcentral.